CGGCGCGGUCUGUGAGGGCGGUGCUGAUGGGGCAGAAGUCAGCAGAGGUCGUAGUACCAGCAGGGAUCGUGAUGUUGCUGGGAAGGGC
Non-coding RNA from Gordonia hirsuta, 88 nucleotides. The record is from Rfam. NCBI's taxonomy places the organism in Bacteria, Bacillati, Actinomycetota, Actinomycetes, Mycobacteriales, Gordoniaceae.